RNAcentral lists this non-coding RNA (27 nucleotides) under Homo sapiens (human). The record is from RNAcentral. Lineage: Eukaryota; Metazoa; Chordata; Mammalia; Primates; Hominidae.
UGAAACUGCAACGAGAUGGAUAGAACU